CGAAGGUAGCAUAGUCAGUAGUCUUUUAAUUGAAGGCUUGAAUGAAUGGUUGGACGAGGGAUAGGCUGUCUCCUGUGUGUAUUCUGAAUUUAACUUUUGAGUGAAAAGGCUCAAAUUAUUUAGUGGGACGAUAAGACCCUAUAAAACUUGAUAUUAUCUAGAUUUGAUUUGCGAUUUGAGUGAAGAGCGGUUUUAUCUAUAUGAUAUUUUGUUGGGGAGACAUAGAUAUAAUUAGUAACUGUCUAUUAAAUUUAAUAGUGUUAGUUAGCAUUUGAUCCUUCUUUGUGGAUUAAAAGAAUAAGUUACUUUAGGGAUAACAGCGUGAUUUUCUUUGAGAGUUCUUAUCGACAGGAGUAGUUGCGACCUCGAUGUU
This 373-nucleotide ribosomal RNA is filed under the name Macrobrachium heterochirus. RNAcentral's name for it is "partial 16S ribosomal RNA". It matches the Rfam family "Bacterial large subunit ribosomal RNA", at positions 1951 to 2533 of the family's 2925-position model. The record is from RNAcentral. Lineage: Eukaryota; Metazoa; Arthropoda; Malacostraca; Decapoda; Palaemonidae.